AUCGCUUCUCUGCCUUUUGGCUAAGAUCAUGUGUAGUAUCUGUUCUUAUCAGAUUAAUAUCUGAUACGUCUCCUAUCUGGGGACCAUAUAUUAAAUGGAUUUUUGAGAACGGGGGCCGAUUUCAAAGCUUGCCUCUGUUUCCUAUCUAGUCUCUUCGGGUGCAGCGCACCGAAAAAAUGUUUUAAUCAUA
Molecule: small nuclear RNA, 190 nt
Organism: Hyla sarda
Lineage: Eukaryota; Metazoa; Chordata; Amphibia; Anura; Hylidae
Product: U2 spliceosomal RNA
Exons: 1
Source: RefSeq, a predicted model, not a curated record